This 385-nucleotide ribosomal RNA is filed under the name uncultured bacterium. Its description in RNAcentral is "bacterial SSU rRNA". It matches the Rfam family "Bacterial small subunit ribosomal RNA", at positions 790 to 1167 of the family's 1533-position model. The record is from RNAcentral.
GUAGUCCACGCCGUAAACGAUGAUGACUGGACCGGUGCGGGUCUUACCCCGUAUCGGUCGAAGCGAAAGCGUUAAGUCAUCCGCCUGGGAAGUACGGUCGCAAGACUAAAACUCAAAUGAAUUGACGGGGGCUCACACAAGCGGUGGAGCAUGUUGCUUAAUUCGAGGCAACGCGAAGAACCUUACCUGGGUUUGACAUGUACGGAUCAACUCUAUGAAAGUAGAGCCACAAUCGCAAGAUCGGAACGUGCACAGGUGCUGCAUGGCUGUCGUCAGCUCGUGCUGUGAAGUGUCGGGUUAAGUCCCUUAACGAGCGCAACCCCUAUCGUUAGUUGCCACCAGGUCAUGCUGAGCACUCUAACGAGACUGCCGGCGUUAAGCCGGA